AAAAAUCAAUAGGCAUGGAAAGAAGCGGGAAGAUAUUACCCAUAAUCAAGGGGAAAAUCUAUCAGGAGAAGCAGAUCGCUAAGUGGCAGAGAUGAGGCAAUUAAUAGACAAAGACACAGAAACAGUUAUAAAUAUCCUCUGUGUACUCAAGAAUGCAGAGGAUCAGGAGUGAAAAAGAAGAUACUUUAAAAAGAAAGACUAGAUGGGAUUUACAGCAGAGUGGAUAUUAGAGAGUAAAGAUCAGAGAAGGCAAAUACAGAGACGGGAGAAAAGAACAUCAAGGACUUGUCGGACAAUAGCAAAUGGUCCAGCGUUCAUGUCACUGAAGUCCCAGAAUGAGAAGAGGCAGGAAAAACUUCAAAGAAUAAUGUCCUGAAAUAUUCUGAAUUUGACAGAAACCAACAGAUCGAGGUUCAGUGAACCUGAAGCACAAGGAAACAUAAAGAAAACCACAUCAAGGCACGUCCGAUUAAUAAUUACUUUAAAUGUAAAUGGCCUAAAGACUGCAAACAAAAGGCAGGUAUUAUCAGACUGGGUAAAAAAGCAAGACCCAAAAUAUGCCCUCUAUAAGAACCACGCUUUAAAUAUAAAAACACGGCUGGUUAAAAGUGCGAGAAUGAAAGAGAUAUACCAGCCAAGCACUCCAUAAUACACACAUGAAGUAGCUGUAUCAGUAUCAGACAGAGAAGACCGCAAAAGGACUAUUAGCAGGAUGAUAGGGAAACAUUUCAUAAUAUGCUGCAUUCAGGGGAGGACAGGACAUUCCUGAAUAUGCACGCACUUAAAUAACAGGACUUCGAAAUGCAUGAGGCAGAAACUGAUAGAAUUGCCAGAGGAAGUAGACCACCAUUUGUGCGCAUCCUAUUUAGAAUAUAUUUACAAAUAAUCCACCAUUACAGUUAGAAAAGUUCACAUCCCUCUCUCAGUAGUUGAUAACUGUAGAUAAAAUCGGUAGGGACACAGAAGGUUUAGCAAUGCUGUAAACAAUGUUGACCUAAUUACCAUUUUUUAAAAGACUCCACCCAAAAGCAAGAGUUCUCAACGGUUCCUCUUUCUCUGUGGUUCCCUCCCUGGCUGAGGAACAGCAUUCUUACCCUCUCCUGAUUCCCGAGUAAAUCCGCAGGGGACAUGCUUGCUGUGCACGUGAGAACCUACCGUAUUCUGUGCUCCAAUGGAGUGUUUGUGGACCUCCCUGGACAAAAGGCUGACCCGGCGACCCUGUGCCUCCUGAAAGAAAGGGGGAAUCGCAGAGUGGCAGUCUCAGACCAUGCUGGAAAAGCACCCAGCUGAGACAGAUCCAUGCACCACUCUGGGGCUUUGGGAUUUAGUAUCCUGGUUUAACUGGGGAUAUAGAACUGAUAAAAAUACCUUACCGAAAAGGUAAGCCAGGGCCGUGUGGAAAACCAGAUCCUUCGUCAAGGGCUUAGCUGGAGAAAAUCAAACACGUUAUUGAAAAAAAUCAGAAAACAAGCCAUCAUUUUUUCAAAGGGACACUCACUCUGUCAUAUUCCCAUACCUCCAGCAAGGAGGGAAAGUGACCUUGAGAUAGAGGGUUGGCCCCUGUAGGGCUUUGUACCAGAUCUGAGAGAGGUGAAUGAGUUUGUCGUUUCAUUAAGCUCCAUGGUCCCCCUGCAACUUUUCUGACUUUGAUUCUGUCGCCUACAGUUUUUCUCUACAUUCUGCUGUGUUUUUUUUUUUUCUUCUUCUGUUCCUCUAGCUAAUGAGUUCCAAUUCCCAUUUGCUUUUACCUUUGAAGGAGUCCAGUGUUCAGAGCAAAAUGUUCCUCAGGAUUUGGGGGACUCCUACUGUUUUGUCUAGCCCGUUUAGGGAAAUCUGUCUCGCCGAGCGAUCUAUAAUUAUUCGGUAUGGGGAUGAUUUGCUGGUAGCUUCAGAAACUGAAGUGUAAUGCAGAAGUGAUGCUUUGGCUUCUCGCCAUUCCUCACCUGGCGGGGACAUACGGCCUCACUAGACAAACUGCAAUAUUGCCAAACUGGGGUCACAUAUUUAGGGAAUUUGUCGUGGAAGUCCACAAAGUGUUAGAAUGCCGGAGUUAGCCAAUUUCUCAGAUGAAAUAGUCAACAACAACAACAACAAAGCAACAAUUUGGGGGACAAGUGACAUAUUCCCCACGGUGGAUUCCAGCUUUUUCAAGAGCGGGCAAAUCCUCUGAUAGACCAACCGACUGAUAAUACUCUAGACCCUUGUGUCGGAUCCCUAGAAUCCGCAGGAAGUUUUUGAACCAUUGAAAUUGGUCACGGUCUCUCCCCACGCUGUGAGGAUUCCAAAUUUUGAAAAAGCUUUCCACGUGAUUUACCAUGGAAACAAAGACACUGACUGCUGGCAGAAUUGAGCUCUGAAUCUGGCAUUUGACUCUAGACCGAUAGCAUUAUUUCUCAGUUCUUCUGGAUGCCUCCACGCCUUGGUGGUAGCAGCCACACUUAUGCAAAGAGCUCAAGCCUUUCUUUGGAUCAUUUGACUUCUGUGUAUGUCCUGGACCGUCUUUUAAGUGCAGAAGCACUGCAGGUGCACGAUCAGACCAGUAAUGUGUCAUCAACGAAAUCAUCUGAGUCAAACAUCUGAGAGGAAUUUUAAAGGCACUAGACUCUUACCAAUGACGACCAAACAGGUGACCUUAUCCAAAAUGUAUCAGAGACGUGCUGUCUGUCGGCAGAAUUCUUUUUGGGCCACUGCCAAGGUGAGCACAGGAGACACUUGGUGGCAGUUCAAUUCCAUAGAAUUGACACCUGUGGAAAGUAAGAGAUCUUUGUCUCGUUAUGUCUGCAGGAUUUGCAGGUGACCUGAUGUCCGCUGUCAUUCAGGAGGCGUGCAAAUCAUGCUGGGAUCUGCCCUGUCCCCUCAGCCCUGAAGACAAGUGGAGUGGAUGAAUCCAACACUGAAAACUUCAUUUAGAAGUCUAUAGGGCCUGGGAGCCAUCUCUUUUCAAUGUCAACAUCAAGGAAGACAAUGCCCCAUCGCCCUGUCACUGUGGGAAUCUAGCUGAGGCAUCUCAACUACCUGCUCGUCGUAGAGAUAGAGGCCAUUAACUCGCACAGAUGGCCACCCCAAUGACCAGGGGAAUGCAGAGUGAACUCUGAAAGCACGUAGAGUGAGCAGGACUGUUGAGUCUCCUCACCCGACAAGUGCUCAUACCUGGGAACAUGCAAACAGGGGUUGUGUCUGCUUGGCUUAUAGGGAAGCAGGAUGGGGAGGGUGCCUAGCUGGCUCAGUCAGUAGAGCAUGUGACCCUCGAUUUGUAAGUUCAGGCCCCACAUCGUGGUUGGUUGUUUGUUUUUUAAUUAAAAAUAAAAUCUUUUUUUUUUUUUUAAAUGGUGGGAUUUCUUUUCUGUCUUAAUAAUUUUAUUUUUUAAAUAGCAGGUCACCUGGGACACAGGCCAGUCUGAGCUCAUGCUUACUCAAAACCAGAACUAUUCCUUUUUGACAUUUGUAGGGAGGGUUUUCUGGGUUGGCAGGUUUUAUUUUUAGAAAUGAAAAUACAGCAGUAUAAGGGUCUGUCUUCAGUGUCACUGUAGAGGAUAGUUUUACCCAAUAUUUCAUCAGGCCAUAAAACGGAUACAGCACUGUGUUUCCUUACUGCCCACCACCCAGCCAGGACUAUUUCAGGUCUUCACCCCAUUUCCAGGAGCAAAUUUCCAUGUUAGUGAGGGUAGGACAGGCUGUGGUGCAGUAAUAAGUAAACCCAGACAUCUCAUUCACUUUGUGCAAGUAGUGUUUCUUCCUUGCUCAGAGCUUGGUUUAUCGCACAUCCGGGCAGUUAGAGGGAUCCCUGGGCCACGUGAUCGAGGGGCUGCUCUAACAACCGCAGAAUGGGAAGCAUACAAACAACAAAUAUCUCUUUCCCACAGU
Molecule: long non-coding RNA, 3864 nt
Organism: Herpailurus yagouaroundi (jaguarundi)
Lineage: Eukaryota; Metazoa; Chordata; Mammalia; Carnivora; Felidae
Exons: 3
Source: RefSeq, a predicted model, not a curated record